Molecule: long non-coding RNA, 204 nt
Filed under: Elaeis guineensis (African oil palm)
Lineage: Eukaryota; Viridiplantae; Streptophyta; Magnoliopsida; Arecales; Arecaceae
Description: long non-coding RNA (EGUI_LNC012914)
Source: RNAcentral
AACGAUGAUAGAAAAAAUUAUAGACAAGUGAAGAAAAUGGGAGAGCUGAAAUGAUUCAGCAGAGUCUCAACUCUAUUAGUCCUGACUUACCUUGCGAAGAAUACCCUGCUCCCUUUUAUAUAGAGAGGGUGAGGAUGGCCUGCUCAGGUUGUUAGGCCAUUAAGAGAGUUUGUUAGGCCGUCAGUUUAUUAUAACAGAAUGGCC